CACCGGUAAAUUCGCGAUGCAUCUAGAUUAGAGUUUGAUCAUGGCUCAGAUUGAACGCUGGCGGCAGGCCUAACACAUGCAAGUCGAGCGGUAGCACAGAGAGCUUGCUCUCGGGUGACGAGCGGCGGACGGGUGAGUAAUGUCUGGGAAACUGCCUGAUGGAGGGGGAUAACUACUGGAAACGGUAGCUAAUACCGCAUAAUGUCGCAAGACCAAAGUGGGGGACCUUCGGGCCUCAUGCCAUCAGAUGUGCCCAGAUGGGAUUAGCUAGUAGGUGGGGUAACGGCUCACCUAGGCGACGAUCCCUAGCUGGUCUGAGAGGAUGACCAGCCACACUGGAACUGAGACACGGUCCAGACUCCUACGGGAGGCAGCAGUGGGGAAUAUUGCACAAUGGGCGCAAGCCUGAUGCAGCCAUGCCGCGUGUGUGAAGAAGGCCUUCGGGUUGUAAAGCACUUUCAGCGGGGAGGAAGGCGGUGAGGUUAAUAACCUCAUCGAUUGACGUUACCCGCAGAAGAAGCACCGGCUAACUCCGUGCCAGCAGCCGCGGUAAUACGGAGGGUGCAAGCGUUAAUCGGAAUUACUGGGCGUAAAGCGCACGCAGGCGGUCUGUCAAGUCGGAUGUGAAAUCCCCGGGCUCAACCUGGGAACUGCAUUCGAAACUGGCAGGCUAGAGUCUUGUAGAGGGGGGUAGAAUUCCAGGUGUAGCGGUGAAAUGCGUAGAGAUCUGGAGGAAUACCGGUGGCGAAGGCGGCCCCCUGGACAAAGACUGACGCUCAGGUGCGAAAGCGUGGGGAGCAAACAGGAUUAGAUACCCUGGUAGUCCACGCUGUAAACGAUGUCGAUUUGGAGGUUGUGCCCUUGAGGCGUGGCUUCCGGAGCUAACGCGUUAAAUCGACCGCCUGGGGAGUACGGCCGCAAGGUUAAAACUCAAAUGAAUUGACGGGGGCCCGCACAAGCGGUGGAGCAUGGUGGUUUAAUUCGAUGCAACGCGAAGAACCUUACCUGGUCUUGACAUCCACAGAACUUUCCAGAGAUGGAUUGGUGCCUUCGGGAACUGUGAGACAGGUGCUGCAUGGCUGUCGUCAGCUCGUGUUGUGAAAUGUUGGGUUAAGUCCCGCAACGAGCGCAACCCUUAUCCUUUGUUGCCAGCGGUUAGGCCGGGAACUCAAAGGAGACUGCCAGUGAUAAACUGGAGGAAGGUGGGGAUGACGUCAAGUCAUCAUGGCCCUUACGACCAGGGCUACACACGUGCUACAAUGGCAUAUACAAAGAGAAGCGACCUCGCGAGAGCAAGCGGACCUCAUAAAGUAUGUCGUAGUCCGGAUUGGAGUCUGCAACUCGACUCCAUGAAGUCGGAAUCGCUAGUAAUCGUAGAUCAGAAUGCUACGGUGAAUACGUUCCCGGGCCUUGUACACACCGCCCGUCACACCAUGGGAGUGGGUUGCAAAAGAAGUAGGUAGCUUAACCUUCGGGAGGGCGCUUACCACUUUGUGAUUCAUGACUGGGGUGAAGUCGUAACAAGGUAACCGUAA
RNAcentral lists this ribosomal RNA (1535 nucleotides) under Klebsiella pneumoniae. Its description in RNAcentral is "bacterial SSU rRNA". It matches the Rfam family "Bacterial small subunit ribosomal RNA". Lineage: Bacteria; Pseudomonadati; Pseudomonadota; Gammaproteobacteria; Enterobacterales; Enterobacteriaceae. The record is from RNAcentral.